This 30211-nucleotide long non-coding RNA is filed under the name Vitis vinifera (wine grape). Its description in RNAcentral is "long non-coding RNA (VVIN_LNC001897)". The stretch from base 1 to 489 matches the Rfam family "Eukaryotic small subunit ribosomal RNA", at positions 1327 to 1831 of the family's 1831-position model. The record is from RNAcentral. Lineage: Eukaryota; Viridiplantae; Streptophyta; Magnoliopsida; Vitales; Vitaceae.
GUUAACGAAUGAGAUCUCAGCCUGCUAACUAGCUAUGUGAAGGUGAGCCUCCACAGCCAGCUUCUUAGAGGGAUUAUGGCCGCUUAGGCCAAGGAAGUUUGAGGCAAUAACAAGUUUGUGAUGCCCUUAGAUGUUCUGGACCGCAUGCGCACUACACUGAUGUAUUCAAUGAGUCUAUAGCCUUGGCCGACAGGCUCAGGUAAUCUUUGAAAUUUCAUCGUGAUGGGGAUAGAUCAUUGCAAUUGUUGGUCUUCAACGAUGAAUUCCUAGUAAGUGCGAGUCAUCAGCUUGCGUUGACUACAUCCCUGCCCUUUGUACGCACCGCCCUGUUGCUCCUACCGAUUGAAUGGUCUGGUGAAGUGUUCGGAUCGCAGUGAUGUGGGUGGUCCGCUGCCCGCGACAUCAUGAGAAGUCCAUUGAACCUUAUCAUUUAGAGGAAGGAGAAGUAGUAACAAGGUUUUCGUAGGUGAACCUGCAGAAGGAUCAUUGUCAAACCUUCGAACGAACCGCGAACACGUUUUAACACUCUGAGGGGGGGGGGCGGGCCCACCACUCCGCCACCAUAAACUACCAUGUUAGGUGGAGACUCCAUCCUUGAAGAAAUCACAUGUUUUGAUUUCUUCGAUCCAUUGCCUUUCUCACCCUCUAAUAUUACUAAAAAGGUAGACUUUCAGUUAGAUGGCAGCUUAGAUCACUUGAUAAACUUGUCAUUUGUGUUGAAUUGCACUUCCAUUAGAUGAACCCUUGUCUUUCCUUAGUAUUUUCUGUUGAAAUCCAUGAAGCCCUCCACCUCAACUGCUUCCCCAAUCGCUCUAGUAACCAUCGAACUUCUUUCUUUUCAAAACCCAUAGAGAAAAUAGAACCUAGGCUUUGCUCUAACACCAAUAUCCAUAUCCCUCUAACCUUGCCUUCAAAUCUUACCUCGAAGGUUUUCCUUUCCACACUGCACAACCUUCUCGUACUCUUCCCUAUAUGGUAUAAAAUGUUAUUUUUUAGGUGGUUCUUUACUUUUUUAAUUCCUACAGAAUUGCUUCCUCAAAUGACAGUGUCAUCCAUAUGUAGCAUGGGUAUCACUAUUUUAGACUUCCUUUUAGGAACAAACAUUGAGUGAUCUGACCGACAUUGAUAAAAGCCAUUUGUUGUUACUACAACAUUGAACUUAUCAAGAUAUGCAGGAGAAGAUUGCUUUAACCCUCAGAUUCUCCUCUUUAAACAUCAUGCUUGUAAUCCGUACUCCCCUUAAGCAAUGAACCCAAGUGGUUACUCCAUGAUAGAUUUUUCCAAUUGAAGUUGGUGACUAAGGGAAUAAAGAUAUGGAUUAAAUCAAGACAGGAAGUUAGAGAAAAUGUCUCAAAAUAGUCUACCCAUAAGCGUAAGUAUGGCCUUUAACAAGAAGUUCAACUUUGAGCCCUGCUCAAUUGUGUCCUCUAGUUGAUAUUUUAUGGGAUAUACCCAUUUACACACUACUAGUGUUCCUGGUAGGUAAAGUAGUGAGUUCCCAUGUGCCGCUAUUUACCAGGGCAUUCAUCUCCUCUAUAACUUUCUUCCAUUCUGGAUGACUCAAGGUGGCUUGAUAAUUUUUAGGGGUAGAGAAAACAGACAAAGCAGUUGAUAAAGCACAAUAUUGAGAGAGAUCAUGAGUGGUAAAAUAACUAUCAAGGGGAUAUUGAAGACAAGGAUGUCCAUCUUUACAAAGAGCCAUGUAUAAUUUGGAAGGAUCGGUCACAAUAACCGAUGGUAGAGUAGAUAGGAUUGAGCAUGAAAGAGACUAAUUAGGAGCAGUUGAACCAUGGGUCCAUUGAUAUGCCAACAACAAUUUAGAAGGGGCUGAGGUAAUAGUUUCUGAAAUUUGUGAAGGAUGAGGAGGUGAAGAACAAAGUUUUGAGUGUAGCGAGGAUCUUGUAGAAGAAAAAAGGAAGUAGACUCAAGAAAAGUCACAUUUGCAUUGACAAAGCUCCUAUGACAGAUAUGAUCAUAACAUUUAUGCCUUUCUAAGUUUGAGAAUAUUGAAAGAAACACAUUUGAUGGUACAAGAUGAUAAGUUAUCUUGAUUUGGAGGACAAUGUUUAACAAAACAACCAAAGAUACAAGGUGGAAGAGCAAAUGAAGGCUGAUCGAGACACAACAACAAAUAUGGAGAAUACCCUUUUAAUACAAAUGGGGGUAACCGAUUAAUCUAAUAGUAAGUAAUUAAGAUGGCAUCCUCCCAAAACUGUUUAGGAACGUGCAUGUGGAACAUGAGACAUUGGCCAACAUAAAAAAAAUAGUGGUUUUUUCUUUCAGCAACCUUGUUUUGUUAUGGUCUGUACACAAGAAGUUUGAUGAAUAAUACCACAACUUGUGCAAAAAGAAGUCAAUGCAUGGUUUUUAUAUUCAAGGACAUUAUCUGAAUGAAGAAAACAACUAAAAUAACCAAACUAAGUUUUCAUUUCAUUAAAAAUAUAAUGAAAUACAUGAGGAACUUCAAAAAGUUCUUUAUGCAAGUAGAAUUAUAUAACAUGUGAAUAAUCAUUGACAAAACUGAUAAAAUAGCAAAAGCCUUGAAUAUGGGGAACUUGACAUGGGCCCAAAGCAUCAUAAGGAGCCACUUUAAAACAAGAGGACUCUUUUUUAAGUCGCACGGGAAAGGAAGAACAAUGAUGUUUCCCAUACACAUAAGAUUGACAUUUUAACUGAUAAAAUGAAAUGGAGACACAGAGGAGGACAAUGCAACAACAUGAAAGUAACCAUCAUUGUGAAGCUGCUACCAAUCUUCUUCUUUAUGAUCAAAUCCUUAAAAACACAAUAAAAAAGAAGAAUCGUACUAUAAUAAUUUUGUUGUUUUGUUAAUUGACUAAUAGAAGCAAGAUUAAUUGAUACUUUAGGCAUAUAUAGCACGGGUCAAGAUGAAGAGGUAAAGAAAAAGUAGGAUGAGAAACACCUAGACCACUAUCCACAGAAGAAAAACCAUGAGCCAAUCAUAUGGAAAAAUUGUUGAAGAUGGAUUAAGUAUGGAAAAUUUUGAAGAUGUCCCAGACAUAUGGAAGGCAGUGUCAGAGCCAAUAAUCUGAGGGUUAGGGUUAUGAGAUGAAAGAAGUGCAGUACCUGUAUGGGCCAUUGUAGCCAUGGGAGUGUUGGUUUUAGUAGCAGAAGGGGCCUUAGAUGAUGUUAGCACCACUUGAAUAGUAGAUGGCAUAGAUUCUGAUGCAUCCCAGUCCUGUUUCCCAGAUUUGCCCUAGCAUUUGUCGAAAUAAUGACUAGUCUUACCAUGGUGAAUAUAGUAUUGACCCGUUAAAAGUGCAAGAACGUGAGGACACUUUAUGUUGGAAAGAAGAUAGGAGAGGAUUGUUCAGCGUCAAGAUUCAUCUUGUAAAAUGGCUAGUUGUUUGCUUGGAUAAAAGUAAAGAGGGUUUGGGGGUAAAAUGCCUCUCUACUCUUAAUAGAUCUCUUUUGGGUAAAUUGAGUUUACACUUUAUGGUAGAAAAUGAGGCUUUUUGGUAUCAAGUUAUUAGUAGGAAGUAUGAAGUGGAAGAAGGGGGGCAGUAUACUUGGGAAGGUAGAGAGGGUUUUGCAGUGGGGUUGUGGAAGGAGAUUAGAAAGGAAGGUUGAUGGGGAAAAGUCUUUUAAAGUUUAUUCAAGGAAGAUAGGGAAGACCUAAGUAAACUUUAAGUAAGAUUAAUAUUAAUUAGAAUUGAAUUGGGAUUGGUAUUUGUUAGAGUCUAAUUAGGAUUAGCUAGUUGAGUUAUAAUAUAAUUAGAAUUUGAGUCAUGAUAGGUUAUUAGAAUCCUAGUAGACUUUGGAUGUUAUUAUUAGAAUUAUAAUCAUAAUAGGUUAUUAGAGUCCUAGUGGACUUUGGAUUUCUUAGAGAAGCUUAUAAAUAGACUAAUCAAUGUAAAUCAAAGGAAUGAUUUGAUAUGAAUAAUAUUAUAUUUUCUUUCAUUGUAAGGUUGCAACCCUCAAUGGUAAGAUUCCAUUUAUUUUCUUCUAGGUGAGACUCCUAGAAAGCCUUAAUGAGACUCUAAGGUUUUCCAUUUUUUCUUCAUUGUUUCUUUUUUCUCUCUAUUUCUUAUCUUAUAAUUUUCUCUACCAUAAAAUUUAUUUUUUGUUCCUCUCCUUGCACCCUAAAAAAUAAAACCCUAGCCCACCUACCCUUGAGUGUAGGCAACCAUCCUAGGGUUGUCCUACGUCAAAGGUUCUCGGUUGAGCAACUACAUUGGGUUUUCUGUGGGUAAUGGAAGUAGAAUCAGAUUUUGGUUGGAUCCUUGGUGUGGUGUUGAGGCUUUGUGCAACUCUUUCCCCUCUUUGUUUGCUUUGGUGGUUUCUAAAGAAGACUGGGUGGCGGAGGUGUGGGACUCUUCGGUUGAGGGGGGGAGUUGGAGUCCUCAUUUUUUGAGGGCCUUCAAUGAUUGGGAGGUAGUCUUGGUGGAGCGGUUGCUCUGGACAAUACAAGGAAUUAGAGUUAGUGCAAAUUUGGAGGAUAGGGUGAUUUAGAAAAAGAUAAAAAAUGGGUUUUUCAUAGUUACGUCUCUUUAUAGUGCUGAAGAACCAGGAAAUACAGUCCGGUUUCCAAGAAAAAUAAUUUGCAGCCCUUUUGUUCCUCCAAGAAUGGGUUUUUUUUUGCUUGGGAAGCCUCUUAGGGGAAAGUUUUAACUUUGGAUCAACUCUAAAGGAGGGGUUAGUCCCUUGCCAAUAGAUGUUUCUUUUGUCUAGUCGAAGUGGAGUCUACUAAUCACAUCUUAAUUCAUUGCACGAAGACUAGAGUUUAGUGGGAGUUAUUAUUCGCUCUCUUUGGGGUGACUUGGGUUCUCCCUUGUUUGGUAAGGGAGACUCUCCUUGGUUGGUUUGGGUCAUUUGUGGGCAAGAAGCGCAAAAAAGCUUGGAAGCUGGCUCCUUUAUGCCUUUUUUGGGUGGUGUGGAAAGAAAGAAAUGUGAUAGCGUUUGACAAAGAAGAGUUUUCAGUUCAUAGAUUGAAGCAUUGUUUUGUAUGUAGUUUAUGGUCUUGGACAAAGUUGUAUAUAGAUGUUUGCCCUUUAUCUUUAAUCGACUUUUUUGAUUGGUUGGGCUUUAGGUGAGAGCGGGUGAGGUUUUUGUUUUUCCUCCUGUUUUGCUCUUUUUUGCCUUUUGGCACCUAUUGUGUACUUUCUGUAUGCCUUGGGUUGCUUUCCGGUCUUCCUUUUUCUAAUUAAUCUACUCUCUACUGUGUUUAUCCAUCCAAAAAAAAAUAUUAUUGUUCUCUAAGUGGGGAGAAUAAUUUUGCUUUUCUGGGAAAAGAGGUUUAGGGAUCCUGUGCUCCUCUUAGAACUUUCUUUUUUGCUUGGGAAGCUGUUUGGAGGAAAAUCCUAAUUGUAGACACCUUAAUGAAGAGGGGAUGACAAAUGGUCAAUAAAUAUAAUCUUUGUAAAGAGAGUGAAGAAUCAACCAAUCACAUUCUGAUUCAUUGUGCCAAGACAAGAGAACUUUGGAUCUUUUUAUUAGUCCUCUUUGGAGUGACUUGGGUAUUUCCAGUUUCAUUAAGAAAUCUCCUCCUUCAAUGGAAAGUUAAGGGGUUUCAAAAGAAGAAUAGAGCAAUUUGGUGCUUGGCUCCCAUUUGCUUAUUUUGGUGUGUUUGGAAAGAAUGUAAUCGAAGAACCUUCAAAGAUGAAGAACUCUCCGACCAGGGUUUAAAAGAUCUCUUCUUUCAGACUCUUUUUGAGUGGACUAGGGAUUCUUUGGAGCUGGAUUUCCCCUCUAUGUUGAUUUUCCUAGAUACUCUUUGUUGUGGUUAACUUUGCUUUGUUUUGUUUGUGUGGUCUUUCUUUGUUUGAGGUGUGUUUGGCUUGUUUUUGUGUAUAUAACCUAUAUACGUAGGGCGCACCCCCUCCUUUUUAGGCGCUUAUUUUUACAUGUUCUUGUUGUCUAUAAAAAAAAAACAGUAUUGGUCAUCCCUAACAAGGCCUCCCACUGCAUAAUGAGCUUGAUCACAAGGACUAUUAACACCUCUUCCUCUAGUGCUAGAGGAAACAUUAAUCAUUGAAGGGGAGAAUAGAUGUUGCUGAUUGAAGGUAAGGUUUCACUUGAGACUAAGUCUUCACUUUAUAGUAGAUAGGUUGAAGACCAAAUAAAAAUUUAGCAAGUACAAACCCUUUUUGCUAGCUUUUGCAAUUUUCCAUAUUACUAUGAUUGAUAUUUAGUGCUUCACUCAUAAUUUUAAGAGUCCUAUCAUAUUCACCAAGAGGUUUAUCAUCCUAUUUGAGGCCAAAAAUAUUUUCAUGUCUGAUAAAUGUUUUUAUCUUUUCCGACAAGUAAGGAAACGAUACAUUAAAAAGUGCCAAAAGAAUGGUGCCCAAAGUACACAAGAUGUAUACAAGAGCACUAAAGGGCUAAAAAUAAGAUGACGGGAAACCAAAAACAUUCCCUCCCCUUGCUUACAAUCUCACCAAUCUACAAAGUCUUGCAAAGAAAGGAUUUAAGCUCUUGAUCAAUAAGCUCUACAUUAUCAAAAGCCUUCCUAUUUCUCUUUUACCAAAUAGUCCAGAGCAAGCACAAAGGAGCGGCUUUCAUGCUUGUUUCCAUUGCUUCCUGACAAAGCAACUGUUCCAACUUAAAAGAGUUGAUUCACCAAAAAAAUCAACACCCAUGCAAUACUAAGUAGGGAGAAGACUAACUGCCCUAGAAUUCUUUCCUUGGAACAGUGGCGGAGGAUGUGCUCAAUAGAUUCUUCCUCACCUUUGCACAUAAAACACCUAUUCACCAAAAUCCAACCUAUCCUCAUUAUCUUGUCCUUGGUUAAAAUACCUUUCCAAACUAAUAGAUGUUUCCAUCUUGAGGAUAAGUUUCUUGCCUCACAGACAAUGUCCCGAGUUUCUUUAGCAAUACCCAAAAACAUCAUAUUAGCACUAACAUAAGGAGACAUGCUAUUCAAUAAUCACAACAUGAUCAUAAAAUGAUCCUAUUGCCACUUUUCAAAAUUAGGGACUUCAAAUCUGGAGGAUCAAAAGGAGAUAGCAUCCCUUAUGCACCAAUAUGUACUUUUAACUGCCUUAGACACAUAGGUCAAUUCAAUUCAUUUUAUUGAGAUAAUUUGUAAAUUCAUAGGAUCAGGAGAUAGAGAUCCACUCUGUGCCUUAUCGGGGAAACAGUAGGAAGAGGCAAGCAGCAACCAUGAGGUAGAAGACAACAGCAGCUAUGAGGUAGUAGACAGCAGAACAUAGUCACUUGACAGAAUUAUCAUUUCCUAUAGUAGCAGAAAAUAAAGGUAUAUAGGCCACAGACCAAAAAGGAGAUUUCUAGAUCAGCAUAUGGUUCACAGUAUAGGACUCCCAUGGUAGGUAGUAGUAAGUCAUAGACCAAAAGCAAGGCAAAUUGCAUGUUUCUAAUCCAUAAAUACAGCAGACUUCUAUCAUCAAUAACCAAUAGAAACAGCUAGGGGCAAACAAAAAGUUGCAGAAAAUAGAACUGAAUAUGAGAAUUGGAGAGGAAACAGAAAAUAGGAACAAAUCUACAUAGGCAACCAGAUCUGAUUUUCUGGAAAAAAAAUAAAAAAUUGCAAGAUUCAAAGUGAUUUGAAUCUUUCAGUAGAUUAGAGUGGUUGCUACAUGGUGUGUAGGGCUUAGGGUGAAUUGCUGCAGGAUAGUUAGGGUUUAAACAGAGUUGCAGCAUGGUUGCUGUUAGGUAGUUAACACCUUUUAUGCCUUUUCUUAUCCCCAAACAGGAUUUUGUAACUACCUGAUAAGCUGGAAAAAGGGUCUGCUGCCUAAUAAAGCCCUAGAAAGUAAUAGACGCUAGCUCUGUCAUUCUCUUGAACUGCUUGUAACAACUAAUAAAACAAAUUGCAACUUAAAAUGACAAUCAUAUUCGCAUCUUACAUGUGUAUUACUUUCUCUCUGUCUCUCUCUCUCUUAUUUUCCUUUUUCCACUUGUGGUAUAUGAAAACAUGUCAGAAAAUUAUUAUCCAAAACGACAUUCUAUGCCAUUUGACACAUUUUAAUGCUCCACCUUGUUCACAUUUAAGAAUGGUCCUUGAUAGGAAAAUGCUAGUUUUAAUGUCUCUUUUACCAUCUUUUCAUUUUUACCAGACUUUACAGUUGAUGUGCCAUCACCACAACAGGUUGUUAUUUGCCUGAAUGUGCUGAAGUGUUAAUAUUUUGCACUUAUGUAAUGUUGUCACAUUCAUGGUCAUCUCAGAUGGUAAACGAGGUCAUUAAACUAGUGCUAGUACAUCUCCCUUCUUAAUGCAUGCAUAUCAUACACCAAAAGAAAAACUUGUGAUGGACUAUUCUCUUUAUUUCAUCCUUUUUCAGGUGGAUUAACUUGAAGGUUCCAUUCCAUGAGGUAUUUGGCAACAUCAGGUGCAACCUAAAAGAAGCUGUCCAGCGGGCUGGGCUACUGUGGGAAGGCCGUGCUCAUUGUGGUUUGGAUGAUGCUAAGAACACUGCUCGUUUACUUGCCCAUAUCAUGCAUCGUGGAUUUAGGUUCAGUAUAACCAACUCACUGAUUUGGCAAUCUACUGAGCGCCCUUCGAUAAGGCAGCAGUUCCAUGAUUGCCAAUAUGGCCCCAUCCAGCAUCCCCACAAAUUGAAGCACCCACUAGGGCCCUUUAUGCGGUUUCAUCCAAUCCCAGUAGAGCCUGAAAAAGACCUAGGAACAUAUUGUUUCUGUGGGGUGAGGAGCAGCAGGCAGAUGCUUCGCAAGCCAGGUCCAAUGCAUGGAAGUUUCUUCUUUGGAUGUGGGAAUUGGACUGCAGCUAGGGGUGCACUUUGCUCAUAUUUUGAAUGGGCUACUUAGUGACUUGAGUGAAAGGAUAUCUAUCCUUACCUGUGAAAGCAAAAAUGAAAAUUAAAAAAAGAAAAAAAAGGGGGAAAAAAAAGGGAAAGAAAGAAAUGAAUGACAAGAGAGGGAAGGUCUCCUAUGAAAGCAAUGCUGGUGUUCGCUCAUUCAUGAGGUUGCUGCUUCUUACAUUUGAUACUGUAGCCUCCAAAGGGGUGUCUGUUCAUAGAAUCUUUGAGAAGUCUAAUAGGAAGAGGGAUCUCUAACUUGUAAAGCUGACUUCUGGUUGGCAGAAAAGCGGGAGGAUAUGGAAUAGGAAAUGCUUACAUAGGAGAAUGGUUUUCACCAUGCCAGGACAUGGUUUUAAACUUCUUAAAUAAUCUUGUUAAAUAGGGAUAAUGUGUUUUAUCUAUGGUUUUAGUGGGAAUGAGCUGCCAUUGAUUGCGCUCCUUUUCCCCUUCAAGUUUCUAUUCUAUGUUUCUAUUGUUUCUAGAUGCCAUCUCUAGGGGAUGAUCUUCAUUCAUGUCGUCCAUCUACCUUCACUGGCGCACCUCCCAUCGGUAGUUUACAGCUAUAGUUAAGUUGGCUACCACCAAAAUUUAGGUAAACAUUUGCUUCAUGGAUAUAGUCUGAUUCAUUCAUUUGUUCAUUGUUUUGGGUUAGGGUGAUUCCCAAUUUAGAGCUAUGUUGAUGCAUGUUCACACCAAGAUUGAAUUAACCAGCUUUUGAAGCUUCUGCUUACAUUUGCCUCAGAACUCAAAUCUGCUGUCUACCUUUUUAUUGAUGUGAUGAAAUCUCACAGUUUUUGCAUUGUGUUGUUUUUGUACUUGGAUUCAUAGAUGAUGAUGAUGAUGAUCAAUAUGAUCCCUUCCCUUUAUUUUUUGCUUUGAAAUUUCAUGCUUUCUGGAUUUCAUUCAUUGGGCUUUCUUUUGAUUGAAUAUAGAUUGAAUGACAUUUUUAUAACUGCAGUGCAGUGUUAUGUACUUUGUGAAUGAAUUAUCAUUUGAUUUAUAACUCCCAACCUUUAGUAAAACUUAAUACUUAUUUCUUAAUGAUUUAAGUUAAAUUAUAUUUAAGUUGUUGAUUUAAAAUUUAUCAUUUAAUUCUUAUUUUUAAGUAUUAAGUUUCUUUGAUAAAAUUAAUUUAAAAAUUUUAUUUUGAAUCAUCAAAUUGACAUAUUUAUCCUCAUAAAUUAUAAUUAAGAUAAAUGAGGUCGAGUAACAAUAGAAUUUGUGGAGUAGCAAAAGGGAUCGUGGAGAUAAUUAUGACAGAUAAAAAUAAAAAAGUAAAAUAAAAAUGUGGACUUGAUAAUAAGUUAAUUGUUUUUACUUAUUAUUUAAAGAUAUUUUUUUUACUUUAAAUUAUAUUAUUAAAUUAUGUUAUCAAACAUAUUUAAUUUAUUUAAUGAUUUAAAUUAAAUUAUUAAGUCACUUUAAGUUAGUAAGAGCUCGAUUGACAAUGAUUUUAGGAAAUAUUUUUAAUUUUUUUAAUAUUUAAUUUUUUUUUUAUCAUUCAAGUGUUGAAUAGAUUAAAAACGUUUUUUAGAAUUACUAUGAAACGCAAAAGUUGAUUUCCCUACCACCCACAAAUCGGUAGUUGAUCAUUAGGGAAGGCUAAUAUGAUGGUGGUGGUGUAAUUUUUUAUUAGAGUUCUUGCAGCUCUCUCACUUUCUUUGGACUUAGAACUUACUAUUUUUGAAUAUUUUAUUUAUUUCUUUUUCAUUAGAAAGAUUUAUAAUUGCAUAUGAUGUUGCUCUAUUUGCUUCUUAUCGUAACACCUAUCUAGCAAUUGUGGUUUAUUUAUUAUUCCUGUUUUUUUUAACACAAAUUUAAUAUUUUCAAUUUUUUAAAGAAAAAUAAAGAAUAAUUUUGAUAAAUUUGAAAACAUAAAAAAGGAAUAAAAUUAUAUAAAAGAUUUAUGGAUCCAUAAUAUAAAAGAAAAACGAUUCAUAUAUAUUUUUAAACUUGGAUCACCAAAAAAAUUGUAAGUGUACAUGUGUGAAUUAUUUGAAAAAAUUAAGAUAAAUAAGAUUUUCAUGAAUCAAAAUCAAGAAAGUUUAUUCAAAGCCAAUUGUCAUAUGAUUAUCCAAUGACUUAUUUGGAUGAAAAGAAAUUUUAAAAAAUUAACUCAAUCUCAAUCAUAAUUCAUCAAACAAUCCAUAUUUAAUCACUUAAUCUCCUAAAUAUCAAAUUCUAACAACAUUCAAGUGUGCCUCGAAUCAGGGUUCAAAACAUCGUCCGAGUCGUAUUCGCCUCAACACCAGUUGUGAUGAGUUCGAUACCCGAUAUACUUUUUACCUAGACUCGACCUUAAAUCGGUUGGACUCGGAUGACUCGACUGGUAUUCCAAGUUAACUUGGUCGACUUGAAAAAAAAAAAAAAACUAAUCAAUAGAUUCCAUGCAAAAGAAACCCAUCACAACAAUAAUCAAAACUUUAAGAGAAAUUAGAGAUUCUUCUGCACAAGAAAACCCUUGAAAAUUUUGAAACAAACCCGUGAAAAUUUGAAACAAACCCGUGACCAUUUCAAAAGCCUUUAAAAAGAGACACGGUUGAAGAAUAACUUACUUAACCCUAAAUCCACCAUUGCCAGAGUGUAGAUUUUUCAUCUUUGGUGCACUACCGAUGCCGCAAUGGUGACUGGAUGCCGGCAAGGCAACCCUCCUCCAUUCGAUAGUCCGAUUGUGGUUGUGUGGUAGCAGUGGGAAGGUCCGAGUCGUCUGAGAGGCUGCAGAUCGUGAUCAUCGUGGUGUGUUGGGGAAGAAGAUAGUGGGCAAGGGUUCUUGGGGAAGAAGCUAGCAGAUGAUAAAUGUAAAGUUUGAUUUACCUUAUUUAAAUCAAAACACCCCUAUAAUAUAUUUUGAUUCAUUACUUUAAUUUAGGAAAGAUAAGAGCUGGUUGAUGGGUCAUUCUAUCGCUCUUUUCCAUUUGUUCUACCUCUACAUGAUUUGAUUAUUGGGUUGCACUCCUAGCUUGCCAUGUCCCAUGGACUUUGUCUUUGGCCCUUGUGGAGACAUUUUUGUAUUUUACUUUUGGAUAAAUUAUAACUGUGAUAUCUACGGUUUUAAAAUGUAUAUACAUGUAAAAAAGAGCUCAUAAGUAUAUAACACUAAUUUUUUUUUCCUUAUUCAAUGUGAAAAAUCAUAUGUAACGUCCACAUGCCCAAAUCAUAUAAUUUUUUUUUAUAUAUAUUAAUUUAUAGUAAAAAAUUCUACAAGAAAUUGUUAUUUAAUAUAACCUAUUUAACAUUUGGUUAUAUUUUAAGAUUAUUAUUAUUUAAAAAAGAAAAAAGGGUUUGCAUGAGUGAAAGUAUAGAAAUGACUUUCAUAAUUUACAUAAAAAUUUAAGUUGAAGCCAAUAUCAAAAUAUUCUAAAGGAAUAAUAUUAAUAUUAUAUGAGUAAACUUAAAUUAUUCUCAAAAUAUAUUUUUUUAAAUAAUUUUUAAAACAAAUACCAAUUUAUAAUAACAUAAUUCACAUCUUUUUUUUUUGGGACAAUUGUGUUUUGGAUGUAGUUGGGUCCAAAAAUUAAGUUUUGGUCCAUAUAAGUUUAUCAUUUAAGCCCAAGACCUAGAGGAAGUGUGAAAAUUGAGAAGAAGGAUAUGAAUUUUUUAUCUUUCCAAAAAUGACCUUUAUUGACUAUGAAAAAAAAAGAGUAGAAAAACAUUAAUUUAAAUUUUAUUCCUUUUGUAAACCUCAAUAAAAUUUAAUUUAAUUUAGUGAUUUGGAAAAAAAUACACCAUUUUCCAAAAAAAUAAAAAUAAAUUAUUAUUAUCAUUAUUAUUAUUUAAAAAUCAAACAUCUUGAAAAAUAUAUAUAUUUAAAAUUAUGUAUGUAAAAAAUAACUAAAAAUAGGUCAAAUUUAUUUUUUUUAAAUGAUAUAUUUUUAGAAUAUAUAUAUAUUUUUAAAAAAUUAGUUUUCUAAAAAUAAUAAAUUUUUAGAAUAAUUAUUAAAAAAAUUAAGAACAGAAAGUUUGUCGAACAUUGUGGUAAAAAAUACUCAAAAUAGUUUUAAAGGGUAUAUUGGUCUUUUCACAUUUUAUAUCAUUCUCAUCAAUUAUGCAACUUAUAUGGGCCAAAUCUUAAUUUUUGAGCCCAACUGGGUACAAAACACAGUUGUCCUUUUUUUUUUUUUUGUUUAUUUCAUUUUCUAUCUCAAAAUUUUAUCAUUUUAAAAUUUUUUUCUCUAAACAAUAUUUUGUAUUGUUUUUAAACAAAUAAAAAUUAGGUGACUCGGCAUGACCAGGCAUGCUAAGUGUCACACCCCUGAAUAUCUCAUUGAAUUUUUCACGAGUGCGCGUUGCUAAGGACCCUUCCUUAGCCAACAUUCCUUUCUAGCGUUUAGAAAAUAGAGUAAAACACAAAAAGAACAAAGCAACAGGGACACACACGAGGUUACCGGAAUCCUUUCCCAACUUGUAUUAUUUCACUAUUACAAGACAAAAUUGUUUUCUGAACCAGAGUACAAUGCUCUCACCCAAGCAUACGAGAAGGAACCCUUUUCCCAAAACUCUCACUCUCUGUUUCAAGGCUGUAGGAGCCUUUUUAAAAGACUCAAGCUGCAGUUACAAAUUUGAAUUUCCCAAUCCAAAUCUUGGAGCCAACUUUGGUGGUUAUGCAACUGGCCAGAACCGCCCUCAACUGCCCUGCAUAACCACCCACCACCUAGAUAGUGGCUUGUACAUGCCACCCACUUACACCAGCCGUCAUCUCUUAGCCAACUGCAAGUCAAAUGACGGCUUGACUUGGUCACUGAGCUAGUUGCACUAUCAUAUCCUCAGGUCUUGCUCGCCAAGUUGUUGGUGAGUCCCCCUAACAAGACGACCCCUCCCCCGUAAGGUGCCUCUUGUGACCGGGUGCCCAUCAGCAUGUCUUUGAUCAAGGCCCUCUAAGCCAGGCAGCGUGCACCAAUCAUCUGACUAAGCAUCUGGUGCAUUAGUGUGCCUUCCCCACACUGAUGUGUGAGCCUGUGCUAUGUUUAAGUGCCCAUAGCUUGGGCUUGUUGCUUGCUUCUCAGCUUCCUAGCAACGAGCCAUGACAUUGCGCCCAUGGCUGAUCCCUCUUGGUGCAUAAGGCAUUGCGCCCUUGUGCUGUGCGUAGGCAUCUUGGUGCGAGUCAGUUAUCGCUUGGAGCCAUCAGACCAUGGCAUUGCGCCCAUGGUUUCAUCAGCUGGCUCACCGCACAAGGCUUAGGCGCCCUCCUGCCUACGCGGGGAGGGGGUAGGCCGUACCAGGCCUCGUGCCGUUGCGGCCACGGGGUGCACACCACACAUGUCGUGGAGCCCAUGUGUGCGUGCUUGAGUCGCGUCGUGUGUCUUAGGCAUGUCCAAGGCCGUGCCAUGGUGCCCCCUUGGUGCGGUCAAGGCUUCUCUUGGUGGCUCCCUCCUUUGAGUCACCUACCCCCCCUUAAAGAGCAUUACGGGUCGUUUUCAUUGUUUCUUAAGGAGACAUCAAUAUGUCUGAGGAGACAUAAUGGAAUAAUAAUUUUAAUUUAUAAACUAAAAUUCCAAGUUCCUCAACCUUCAUCUGCACCACCUAAGUCAGGUGCGCGUGCGAUGCUCAUCUGGUGCACACACGGUGCAUGUCUGGCUCGCCCACAGUGCGCACGCGGUGCGCGUUUGGCCCACUCGCGGUGCGUAUCUGGCUCGCCCGUGGUGCGAUCGCGGUGUGCGUCUGGCUCGCCCAUGGUGCGCGUCUGGCUUGCCUAUGGUGUGCGCGCAGUGCUCAUCUAGCUUGCCCACGGUGCACGCGCGGUGUAUGUCUGGCUCGCUUGCGGCCUCCUCACAUGGCUUUUGGAGUUUAAACCACCAAACUUCUAGGAUUUCCUUACUUUCAUCCUAGGGUCUCAUAGGUGCAAGGCCUACCCAUGAGGCCUAUUCCUCCAUGGUUAAGUCAAGGGGCUAAGGGGCUGACCCUAAGCCUUUAGUAUGCUUAAUUUUGUCGCACCAGGAAUAUUUCUUGGAUGGGCCAACCUGACUCAACCCAAUUUGUAGCUAUUAGGGUAUAACCUAGAAGGUGACCCACCAAGCCUAUUGAAAAUUAGGGCGUUACUUAAAGGUAGAGGGCCUAUAGGCUUUUAAUAUUGAAUUUACAAUUUAAAAUAAUUCAAUUGGCAUCUACUUAACUAUGUUUGGUUACAAAAAAUUUAAAAGAAAAUGUAACAUAAAGAAAUAUAUAUAUAUAUAUAUAUAUAUAAGAAAAAAUAAAGAAAUAUAAAAAAUAUAAUAAAGUUAAUAAAUUAUUUUUAUAUAUUAUAUUAAAUUCAUUUCACCUUUUUUUUUUAUAAUAAAACCAAAUAUGAAAAAAAAAAUCAUUUUUAUUUUAUUUUAUUUCCUUAAUGUUUUGAUUUUAUUUUAUAAUAUUCUACAAUUAAAUUACAAUGGGAAAUCAAUAAUUAUCAAAACAAACUUUUUUAAAAGAUUUUUUUUUAUAAAAAUAAUAAUUUAUUUAACUAUUAUUUAUUUUAAUUAAAAAAACAUAUAAAUAAGUGGAAAACAAAAUAUGAUAAACUUAGGUGAGAUCGUGUUUAUUGUUUUUUUAGUAGAAUUUAUUUUUAUAUGGCAAUAAUAUGAAACAUAUAAGUGAGUGGAAAAUUGAAUAUUAUAAUUCUUAUAUAAAUGUGUUUAUAUAUAUUUAAUUUGAAAAGUAAGUUGUUUUACUUUUAUAGAUGGUUAAAUGGCCUAUAAAUGGUUAAAUGGCCUAUAUACCAAAUUGGAAAUACAUAUUUGGAAGAUGAGGUGCAAGAGCUUGAGGUAUAUAUAACAACAUUGAAGGCUAAAUGGCCUAUAUAUGGGUGCAAUCAUGUGUGAUGGUUGGAGUUGUAGGACUAAAAAGCCUAUCAUCAAUUUCAUGAUUUAUUAUGAUAGAAGUAUGAUAUACCAUUCUUCAGUUGACACUACCAACUUACCUAAGACAACAUACUACAUCUUUUCCCUUAUGGAUAAAGUUGUAGAGGAGGUUGGGAAGGAAAAUGUUGUUCAAGUAGUCACUGAUAAUGAGGCAAGUUUUAAAGCAGCCGGUAUGUUGUUGAUGAAGAAGCGGAAGCAUUUGUUUUGGUCUCCUUGUGCAGCCCACUGUAUUGAUUUAAUGCUUGAAGAUAUUGUAAACAUGAAGUAGAUUAAGGAGACAUUAGAUCAAGCUAAGAUGAUCACAAGAUUUAUUUACAAUAGCUUGAAAUUAGUGAAUUUGAUGAAAGUGUUCACCAAGGAUAGAGAUCUGUUAAGGCCAGGAAUAACCCGUUUUGCCACUGAAUUCAUUUCACUUGAGAGUCUUAUACGUUAUGAGGUUGAUUUGAAGAGAAUGUGUACAACAAAUAAGUGACGUGAAUUCAAUAAAGAUAGGAGCAGAAAAAGUCUAAGAGAUGAGGUAUCCAACCUUAUAUUAACUGAUCGAUUUUGGAAGAAGGCAGGGAAGUUCAAACCAUCAUGGAACCUCUCGUCAAAGUAUUGAAAUUGGUUGAUCAAGAUAAAAAAGCCACAUUAUCAAUCAUUUAUGAAGCAAUGGAUAGAGCUAAAUUGGUUAUCAAGGCAUCAGUCAAGCAAUGGGAAAAGUAUUGGGAAGUCAUUGAUAGAAGGUGGGAAGGUCAAUUGCACAGACAUUUGCAUGCUGCAGGUAAUAAAAAAAUUCUUUAUAUAUUUUUUAUUAUUUUUUUAAGUACAAAUUAUUAUAAACUGAUCAUUAUUUAACUUAUGACAACAUAUUUUUUAAAUCCAAUGUUCCAAUAUUCAAAACAUUUCUCCAACCAUCCAGAAAUUAAAGUUGGAUUAAAGAAGGUUAUCAAGAGAUUAGAGCCAGAUUUGGAUAGACAAGCAAAAGCUAUUGACGAGGUAUAAUAAUAGUUUGUGAUAUUUAUAUAAUGCAUUUUGUAUAUGUAAUGUGCAUUAACAAAAAAAAAUGUUAAUGAUGUAGGUGAAAUUAUUUAUUGACGACCGAGGAGAAUUUGGAAGUGCACUUACAAAGAACGCAAUAAAUCAAUCUCUUCUAGGUACUCAAUACAUUUACAUUUAUUACAAAUAAGAAAUUAUCAUCAUUUUUUGUUAAAUAUAUCAUAGUGAUUAAUAAGUAUGCAUUUUCUUUAUUAUAGUUGAAUGGUGGAACAACUAUGGCGACGAAGGUCCACAUCUACAAAAGAUUACUGUUAAAAUUUUAAGCCAAACUUGUUCUUCAUUAGGUUGUGAAAGAAAUUGGAGCACAUGGUCAUUGAUUCACACAAAGUUGCGCAACCGUUUGGCAAUAAAAAAGUUGUAUCAGUAGUUUAUGUGCACUAUAAUAUGCGACUUCGAGUUAAGAAUUUGAUGCAAGAGCUAAACAAUGAAGAUUUAUACAAUCCAAUUGAUUUGAAUCAUAUCUUUAAUGAUGAUGAUAUAUUAGAUGAGUGGAUACAAGAAGGAGAGGAGCUUAUUUUAUCAUAUGAUAAUUUGGAUUGGUUGGAUAAAGGUCUUCCCACUAAUGAAGAAGGUAGAGAAACAGUUCAUGAAGAUGAUGGUGCCACAAAUCGUAAAGUUAGUAGGCGUACAAGUAAUGCUACACAAGAAAGAGAUGUUGAUUCCCGUUGUAAAGGUAAGACUCCUAGAACAAUUUCUUCAAGUUUUAGUAGUGAUGAUGGUGACAAUGGGGGCAAUGCGCGGGGUGGUGGCACUAGUGGGGCAAUAGAGGAGUUGGUGGUACUAGUGAGGGUACUAGAGGAUAUGGUAGCACUGAGGGCGGUUAUGUUAGUCAAGUAUAUCUUAACAUGUCAUGGGCACAAGGAGGUGAAAAUUACUAUGCCACACAAGAUACAGAUCAUGGAUAUCGACCAGGGAUAUGGGAACAACGAAAGCAUUUGGAAAGACUAACUACAUUUCCCAGCGAUGAUGAUUAUUUUAGUGGGCAUGAUUAUCAUAGAUCAAAUUAUCACCGUAUUGAUGAGCCCUUAUAGAAUUUGGGUAUAGGAUCAAGGUCAUAUUUUAGAGGGGUAGAUGAUAGAUCAUAUCACAACUUUAGAGACCGUGAUAGCUCUUUCAGUACUUUUAGUAGAAAUGAUUUUGAUCGAUUUCCAAUGAUACAUCCAGAGGGAUAUUCAAAUACUAGAACACGAGCUUGUGAUUCAUACGGAUAUGAUCAAUCUUCUAGUAGUAGUAGCAUUGCUUAUUGAGGUUUUAUAUACUAUCAAUAUGGUGUUGAUCCCGAACAACCUUUGAAACCAUAUUUUCCUUAUUAUGGAUCGUCAAGCCAAUCAUCUGAGCCAACAUAUUCGAGUUAUGAACAACUCUUUGAACCAUAUCAUCACUACAAGAAUUGCCACCCAAUUUGUAUACUCGUCAUAGGACUAAUGAUGAUGAUUUUGAACCCUCUUAUCAUUCAACAUGGAAUUGAUUGUUGUAUGUUUGUUAGUAAAAAUGUUAUUAUAUUUGAAAUAAAAUAAUUUUCUUUUGUUAGCAUUAUUAUAAAUAACUUUGAGCAGAUACUUUUAUAACUAUUUAAAUAAUGUUAAAUGUGAGACAAUUUUAUUUUAUUAAUUUUUUGAGCUUAUUUAAUUGUAUAUAUUUUUAUGAUGAUUUACAUAAUAUUUUUAUAAUUUUUUGAAUUUUCUAAUUAACUUAUUUUAUGUAUCUCCCGAUACUAAACCGAUAUGCCUCGGGAACCUUCGAGUCAGUGACCGAUAUUGCAACUUUGAACCAUGGCCCGAAUUGUCCACACCCAACCUAAACUAGCAUGUAUUCAAAAAAUUAUAAAAUGAGAAAGGACCUAAAUAAAGAAGAAAAUGUAAAGUAUAAGUUAAUAAUAAAAAAAACUUAUAUCAAACUAAAGUACAAACCAAACAUAAAAUACCCAUUCUACCAUUAUAUGAAUAAAACACUGAUUCUCUCAAUAUCCUUCAUAUUAUUAAUUCAAAUUUUAUGUGAGCAUUUAUAGUAAGAUCAUUGAAAUUUUUUUAUUCAACGGAUCACACUUUAUUACCUUUAGCAUGCAUUUUCAUUAAAGAAAUUCAAUCUUUCUAUUAUAUUUUCUAUUGAAUUCCAAUAUUUAUAAAAAAAAGAAAGAAAGUCAUAGUACCUCAUUUUCUAUUAGAUUUCAACACCUAUUUCCAUAAAAAAUUCAUUCUCUACAUCUCAUUUUCCAUCACAUUUCAACAUGCAUUUCCAUAUAAAAACUUCAAUCAAUAUAUUCAAUUUCUAUUGAAUUCUAACAUGUCUUUUUCAUAAAAUAGAAUAAUAACAAAAAAUAAAAUAAACAGCCACUGCAUUUUAAUUUUCAUUGAAUUUCAAUUUUCAUAUACAACCCCGUUAAAUCUCAAUUUACUUUAAUUAAAUAAAUAAAAACACAAGCCAUUAUCAUGAUCACAAUUGGCUAUAUUGAUUUAAUCCAUAUAUGUCUCAUUGAAGAAAAUUCCCAAUCAAAGACCAUUAAUAAUGAUUCUCCAAAAACUAGCUGAGCAUAUGCAUGAUCCACUACACUGAUUUUUAAUUCUAUCAUUUGGAACUUAAAUCUUUAAAGAACCUUUGGGCAAAUUUGGAGGUGAGGAUGAUGGUGGGGUGGGGGUGACGGUGUGGCCAUUAGCAGUGGUGGUGAGUAGCAGCGUAGGUGGGAAGGGAAUGAGGUGGGGGUGACGGUGAUGGUGUCGCCGUUAGUGGUGGUGGUGAGCAGUGGCGUAGGUGGGAAGGUAGUUGAUGGAUGAAGGAAAAAAAAAUGGGUAUCUUGUUGAUGGUUUAUGCAUGGUUUUAAAGUGUGCUUUUCGGCAGCUGGGAAUGGAGCUGUUGCAUGGGAUACUAUGGAUUAAUGUAGCUACCAAAGGCUAGGGUCAACUAGAUGUAUGGUUUUUAUUAAAGUGCAUCAAAUUGUCUAACAUAUAGAAUUAGUUAUCAAAGCUUAUAAAUGACAUAUUUGUUAUAAAAGUAAUUAUAUUCUUAAAGUAUAGAUUUAAUAGUGAUAUAUAUAUAUAACUCAAAUCUUUACUUCAAUUUAUGAUUCAAUAAGUAUUGGGAAUUUUUUUUUCAUUUUUUUUAUCCAUAUAUAUAUUAUCUGAUAUGUUUAUUUUUAAAAGAAAUAAUCCAUAUUAUUUUACAUUUGAAGUGUGAUGAUACUUGUAGUAACUUGAAUUUAUUUUUAUUUUUAUUAUUAUUAUUAUUUUUAUAAUAAUGAAAUUUUUAUUAUUUAUUAUUUAUUUUUGGUUCAUGAACUAUUUAAAAGAAAAUUAUUUUGGCAUGUUCGUUACCUAAAAGGAACAACUUAUUUUAUCUUAUAUUUUUAAGACGUGGAUUUAAUAUUUAUAAAAAACUCUAAGUUUCAUUUCAAUUUAUGGUUGAUGAUAAUUUUAAACAAUCAGAGAAUCCUAAACCACAAAAAAUAGAAGUUCGUGUGAUCACAUCAAAAUUUUAUAGUUUAUUCUCCAAGAAGCUCCCAAGGAAGAAUUAGAGACUACAAGUCGAUGAAUUACAAUGAUUUACUUGGAUAGUAGCCUACAUGUGUUGUGGGCAAAAUGAAGGGUCUACAGGAAUGUUUGAACACUUAACAAGAAGCGUUCAAACACAACACCCAAAUGCUCCUAGUAGGGUGUUCAAACGCUAAUUGUAUAUUUUGCUCAAUUUUGUUUUGAUUUUAUGUUUUUAGGGGUAAUUUGGUAAAAUUAAAGGUUUAAAUAUAUUUGAAAAUUAGACCAAAGUUUUCUUAAGUGUAAAAGAAUCACUUUGUUGGAAUUUUGCAACCUUUGUGAAGAUAGUCAUUCAAUAAAUUUGUGCCUUCAUUUCUUGAAGCUUUCAAGAUCAUGCUUGAAAGUAUCAUUUGACUACAACAAAUGUUUGUGAUUCAUUUUAUGUAAAGAGCUUUGAUAGAUCCAUUAAGGAGUACAUGGAGUAUUGCAUUGAGAAUGUGGUAAAAAAGUAUAAGCGUUAACACUAUAAGACCCUGGGGGAGUAGUCCGGUCAAAGAAAAUCGUGUGUACUAUUUUAUCAUAUUUAAUGGGUUAUUAAACGAUUGAAUGACCAUAUGUGGUUUUCUACAUGAAUGUUAGGUAGUUUUUUCACAUUAUAUCCUAUAUUUAUUCAUGUGAUUAAAUUUUCUUUUGUACGAGGAUUCAUUAAUUCUUACUCAAUAUUGAUAUAACUAAUAAAUAAAACUAAAAAAGUUAAGAAAUUAAUUUCUUAGUCUAUAUAUUCAUCCCUUUUAGGUAGUUUCAUAUCAAGAUAUUAAAUUCUUUUAGAAGCUCUAACUAACCUCCUUAGGUGACCACGAUGGGUGAAGUACAAGAUUGACACCAACAACAACCAUUGAUUGUUCUUUUUCCAUUUGAAAUUUUAGAACCCUUUCUCUCACAUGGAUAACUCUAUUUCUUUCUCCAGGCUUUUGAUUGUUUGAACUCAAUAUUUACUAUAAUAAAAGCAAUAGUACAAACAUUCAAAACCCUAAAGAGAGAAAUACAAUUACCUAAGAGAGAUUUUUAAAAUCCAAAAAGGAGAAAAAACAAUAAAUGAUCUUUGUUGGUGUCUGAUCUUAGAGUUCCCCAAUAGUAGCCACCUAUGAAGCUCAGCUAGUGCAUAACUACGGGUUAGAGAAAAUGAGAAGAGGGAGAAGAGGUGGAGGUUAUGAUUUAGGGGGCUUGAGAUUAGGGUUUGUGAGUUUAAGAAAUGAGAGAGAGGGAGAAGAAAUAGAGAUUAAGGUUUGUGGGUUCACAAAAUUGAGAGGAAAGGAGAUUUAGGCUAUGUUUGGUUCCCGAAAAAUCUGAGGGAAAAUGCAAAAGAAAGAAAAUAAAAAGAAAAAAUAGAAAGAAAGAAAAAGUGAAAAAAAAUAAAAAAUAGAUUAAAAGUCGAUAAAUUAUUUAUAUUUGUUACUUUAAACACAUUUUAUUUAUUUUAAUUCAUCAAUAUAAAGAUUGAAUAAUUUAAACAUACAUGAAAUUUUAAUUAAAUUUGAUUUUCUUUUAUAUUUUUCAUAAGACAAUCAAAUAUGAAAAAAUAAUUUUUUUUUUUUUGUAUUUUUUUUCUUUCCUUAGUAUUUUCCAGGAACCCAACACAACCUUAGGUUUUAUGGGGGCUUUGUGGGAUUUAUUUCAUUUAUUUAUUUAUUUUUUAAGGACAUGUAACAAAUACCACUUGACUAAGAUAGAUGCACAAGUGAAAGACUUGGGUAAAGGGAGUAUGAAAUGGGAACCCAUAGACACAUGAAGCAUGCAUUGAAAACUCGUACAGUCGUUUACAUUUUGACAUAUUUCACUCAUGCACUCUAUUUUAUUUUUUCUACUUUGGUAUAUAAAUAUGGAUUAGUAUCAUAGAAGCAUAUACAUACCAAGUAAAAACUUCUUAUGGUCACCCACAAAAGGGGAUAUCAAUUUAGUGGUUUGCAAAAUGUUGAGAAUUCUACGGUAACAUUUUUUCAUGUGUAACCCCUCUUUUUUGAAGAGAUGAAUUUACUCUACCAAUAGUUCAGUAGAUGAUAUUGAAUUAUAAUUUUAUUCACCUCCCUCGAUAUUUAAGUUAAAUAUGUCUAACUAUCAUUAGUUUGAAAUUUUAUGAAAUAUAUUCAUUUCCUUUCUCUUUUUUCAUUUUCACUUCCCUCAUUUUAAUUCAAAAUAUGAAAGAUAUUUGAUAAAAUUUCAUAUUCACGGCACUAAAAUAUAUUUAACUCAAAUUGUAGGGAAGAUGAGUGAAAUUCAUCCCUUUACUUUUUAUAUUUUUUUCAUCUUUUUAAAAGACCACUUGACUAUUAGUAAACUCUUAUUAGUAUUUUUGUAGAACUUGUGUGACUUAUCUUUUGAAGAUAAAAGUUUGAUUUUUUUUGGGUUUCUUUUUGGAUAUUUUUUUGUAUUAUUUUAUUUUAUGAUUUUUUUAAUAAAGAAAUGUAAUAUUGAAAAGAUUUGUAACUUAAACUUAAUAACAAUACUUAUUUUAAUUCUUUUUUUUAAGUACUAUUUUUUUCUCUUAUGGCAUUUUUCUAAUGAAAAUAUAAAAGUUAUGUUUAACCUCAAAAGUUUGAGGGAAAAUGUAAGAAAAAAAAUGGAAAGAAAAAGUAGAAGGAAAUAAAAGUUGAAAAAAAUAAAAAAUAAAAUUAAAGUUUAAAAAAUAUUUUUAUAUAUUAUUUCAUAUUUUUUUUCGUAUAUUUAAAUCUUUUAUAUAAAAAUUGAAUAAUUUAAAAAUAUAUAAAUUUAUUAAUAAUUUUAGUUAUAAUUGACUUUUUUUUUAGAAUAAAAUCAAAUAUGAGAAAUUUUUUUUUGAAUAUUAUUAUUAUUUUUCUAGUAUUUUACGAGAAUCAAACAUAAUUUUAGAGUUAAAUUAAUAAUGAUUUUAGGAAAAUGAAAAGAAACUAAUAUUAUUUAGAUUGAAUAAAUUUUAGAAAGAGAAUAUAAAUUUCCAACAAUUUUAUUUUUUAUUUAGAAUGGAUUUUUUAAUUUAAUAUUAUUUUCAUUUAACGAAAAACGACAGUUAAACGGCGUCGUUGUUUGCUGACUGAAAGAUGGUGGUAGGAAAAUAAUUGGAGAGGAGCCGAACCUACUAAAUUACUAACUGCAUCUCAGUGAUUUGAUUCGAUUUGAUUUUAGUAGAAAUUCAACGUACACGGCCUCAUCCUCUUCCGUCUUCUUCCCAUCUCAACUCCAUUUUGUUCUCUGCUGCCAACCCUAAGCCAUGGAUUCACUGCUCGCGUAUCAGCUCCUUCGCAUCCUAUCCCUCACUCUUCUUCUCUCAUCGUUCUCUCGUAUCUCUAAAUCAAGUGAGGUAAUUAAAAAUUCUUUCUCAUAUGAUUUCUUUGCUUAGUCUCCGUUUGCUUUCCAACAAAAUUUAAGGAAAGUUUAACGACAGAGUGGGUUUUGAAUCUUUUGUGUUUCUUUUUUCUGUGAGAAAAUGGAAGCAUCCACUUCACUGAGCUUACUCGAUUCAGUGAUUUUUUUUCCUAUUAAUUUUAUAUUGUUGAAGGAGAAGUAUGGUUGUAUUGGGCUCUGUUUGGGUACCAGGAGACAGAAAGGAAAAGGAACUUUGAAGAAUCUCAAACGUUGAAGAAUUUAAUGGUUGUAUUGGGCUUUGUUGGUUAAAUCAUGUGGAUGUGGAUGUGGUUGUGUUAAGUUUCAUACUUUGAAGAAUCGAAUAUUGAAGCUUUUUUCUUUGUUCUUUUUUUGGAUAUUUUAUUGCAUCCAAACUGAGGAUUAGGGUUAAUACGGAAUUAGGAUGUGAUUGUUUACAGUUUUGUGAUGCUGGAACUGGAUUUGGUGAUUCUGGAUGUGUAGUCUCGUCGAAGUCUGCAUCAAAGCUGUUAAUCAAGGGAGGAACUGUUGUGAAUGCUCAUCAUCAGGAGAUUGCUGAUGUUUAUGUAGAGGAUGGGAUCAUUGUUGCUGUGAAGCCUAAUAUUAAGGUAAUUCAUAAAGUAAUUUAUUUAAUCCAUUGUCUGUUGUGUUUCAUUGGUUGAAUUUGAUCCAAAAAUGUUAAAUGAGUUGCUCAGAGAGGGCUAAUUAGCUCUAGCAUGAAACUUGAUUGGAUUGCCAUGAUGAGGGCUUUUAUGUACUGGAUUUGACAUUUUAAGAUUCUUUAGAAAAUUCAAAUUUCAUGGGAGAAUGGUGGGGUAGAAUGGUUGUUGUGGAGUCUAGUCAUCUAAGUUGUCAAAAAAUCUUGGAUUAUUCCAAAAAUAUUCAGAAACUAUCGCUAUCCUUAUCAAAGGAAAGGUCCAUUCUAGCAAUCUAAAAAACAAACAUGUGGAGCAGAGACAGACACGCCCUUUCAUUUUUUUUUUAAUUUUUUUAUUAUUAUUAUUCGUGCAUAUCCCAAAUGUAAAAAAUACUUCCCAAUAGAAAUUAUUUGUAAAAUUCCUAAAUUACUCUAUUUAAUUAUUGAAUGAUACACACAUGCCUUUUGUUUUCUCAACAUGCAUAUAUUUUCCUAGUUGCAAAUUCAUUCUCAGAUUCUCUCCAUGCUAUUCCUGAUGUUUGCUUCAGCUAGCUCCCAAAUUCUGAACCAUUUGAAUGCCAAAAGUUCUUGAAUUCCCAAUUGUCAUUCUGGUCAUUGAUUUAUUUGAUGGUUUGGUAAAGCUGUUAAGCAUGAUUCUAUUUUUAAAAUCAGAAAAUAGUACUAACUUUUAUAUAAAGUAUAAGAACUCUUAGAGGUUUACAUUGAAAAAGUAAUGGUUUAAAAACAAUUUAAAAAAAUUGAGGUAUCAAAAAAAUUUUAUUGCCUCAAAUUUAAAAAUUUUUAAAAGUGAUUUUUAAAGACAUAAGAUAAAUAUACUUUUUAUGCAAGAGGCUCUACUUUUUAUAUAAAACUUAUUACUAUUUUCUGAUUUUAAAAACAAAAAACAGGAAGUGUAACUAAAUGGACUUUUAACUGUUGUGACAGUAGAAUAUGGUGAUAGAUAAAUAUACUUUUUAUACAAGAGGCUCUACUUUUAAAUUAUAAGCUGAAUCUGAUGUUGAUAGAUAAAGGAUUUUUUUUUCCUCUAUGUGAAUGGAUGAUUAAAUGGAAAAUGGGAAUUUUUUGUUAAAAUUUAUAUAAACAGCUCUUAGUUUCAAGAAGUUGAUCUUUGUCCAAGGAUAAAACACAACUGCUUCAAGAGGUCAUCCAAAUUAUGAAUGCUUCACCUACUUUUCUUAUUCAAAGUGAGCAUACUUCUGAUAUAUAAUAUAUGUAUGUGUUCAUGUAUGUUAUACAACUUAUAAAAAUUUUGUUAUUAGGUGCAGACCUAUUUAAAUAAAGAACUAGUAUUUUCUUUUUGAAUAAACUAUAGUUCAUUGAGAAUAACAAGAGAGAAAUCAGAAAACUAGCAAGAUAUACUAAUGAAAGACAAACUGGAUUUACAGAACAGAAAAGAUCAAGAAAGGAAUAGCUAGAUAGGGAGCAUGAAGUUGUUAUCCACCAGAAUAAAGUUCUAAGAAAUGCUUUGUUUAACUUAAAAAUGAGAUCUAUUUUUAAAUAUUUUUCUAUUUCUAUUCUCUAAGAAAUCUCCCUAUUUGUACAGCAAGGGCACUGAUCAUUGGAUAGUCCUGGUGUAUCGGUGAUCAUAUUUUGAAGCCUUAUUUUACAACAUUGGUCCUUCACAGGUCAUCACAUCAUCAAGCAAAAAUCAGAAUAGAGAAAGCAUGAAAACCCAAUGCUCUCUAGCCAUCAACUAGUGAAGAAAAUGAUGACCGAUAGAUCAAGUACCAUAUCUACAAAUGCAAUGUUGACUUGAAAUAUGCUCCAAUCAAGAUGUUAAAUCUCUUUGCCAAAUAGAGAAAGAACUAUGCUUUGGAUGGAGCCAACAGGCACCAAGAUUUUUAUCUGGAGCUCUUUAUCAAUAAAAUGUUUAACUGUGAAUUUACCAAUAUGAUUCAUUUCUCCAUCAUCAAUCCUAUUUUUCCCUCUAAGCUCAAAUUCUAACACCAUUUCCAAGUUCAAUCACGAAAUGCUUCAUAAAACUAGGCUACUACAUCUUCUCUGCCAAUCACACUACACAAUCCUUGAUGCCAACCUCUUUAUUCACCACAAUUCCAAAUAGCUUUAGGAAUUUCUUCACAUGAGGGGUCUUCUACACGAUUUCCAAGUUCAAUCAUGAAAAUGCCUUACAAAACUCGGCUAGUGUAGCUCCUCCUCCAAUUUUUUUUUUUCGAUAAGUAAACACAUAUAUUAGCAAAAGGCAAAACGCCGCAUAACAUACAGGGAGUAUACGAGGCAACGCGGGCCUCACAACAAAAAGACAAAAGGAACAAAAAACCCACCGACCCUUAACUGGAGGCUAACCACUCUAAGAAACCUAUAAGGGAGCGAGGCUCCGCACCACUAUACAAUUUUACCCACCCUCACACAUUACAAACAAAAGAAUUCUUAAUUUUCUGAAUAGCUAACUCCCCCUCCUCCCCCUGAAUGCUAAUCUAUUCAUCUCCUUCCAAAUCGUCCAAAAAAUAAAUAACGGAAUGGAUCUCCAAAUUUUCUCCCUCUUUUUACCCACAAAAGAACCCUUCCAACUAAAAACCACCUCCUUUACAGAUUCAGGAAAGACCCAUUGGGCACCAAACAAACUAAGAACAAUCCCCCACAACACUCUAGCCACUGUACAAUGAAUAAGUAGAUGAUUUACAUUUUCCUCAUCACUACCACAUAAAUAACAAUGAUUAGGAAGCUGCCAUCCUCUCUUUUGAAGCCUAUCAAGGGUAAGAAUCCUCCCCCAAGUAGCUUCCCACGCAAAGAAAGCUAGCUUAGAAGGAACGUUCUCCACCCAAAUGCCCUUUUUAGGAAACAUGGAAACACUAGGGCUGAUCAUCAAACCAUACACUUCCUUAACGCCAAACUUCCCAUUUUUUCCUUCCUUCUAAAAGGCCGAGUUCUCCUCCAAGGUAAUUCUUUGACUCCUUAAAAUUUGGAGUAAUUCGCCUAUCAUGAUCAGCUCCCAAUCAUUGAAGCCUCUAAUGAUGAACCUUAGAUUUCAACCUCCUUAACCAGAAUUCUGGUCCCACAUAUCCCCCACUGUGGCGUUCCUUUAGGCAGCCGCAGAGAAGAGUUGAGGGAACCUCCGAGACAGCUCCACAUCCCCACAACAAGGGUCCUUCCAAAACCUAAUUCUGGUGCCUUUUCCCACCUUAAAAGUCGUAUUAGCCCAACACCAAUCAGCUUCUUUCAAGAUCUCCUUCCAAACCCCAACACCAAAUGCCCCAUUUGCCUUUUUAGUCCUCCACCCAAAUUCCUCUUGCCCAUAUUUUGCCACAAGAACUCGUUUCCACAUCUCGUCCUUGGCCCAAGCAAAUCUCCACACCCAUUUUCCAAGCAAAGCUUUGUUCAAGGGGACUAACUUCCUCAAUCCAAGCCCCCCCUUCUCCUUACCCACACACACCCUCUCCCAAUUGACUAGGUGGGCUUUUCUUUCCGUACUUCCCCCUCCCCACAAGAAAUCUCUUUGCAACUUUUCAAGCCUUCUUGCCACUGUCCUAGGCAUACGGAAGAGGGACAAUUGAUAUAAAGGCAUGCUAGCCAAAGUACUCUUUAUGAGGGUGACUCUACCGCCCUUGGAGAUGUAUUGCCGUUUCCAAAGGGCCGAUUUCCACCUCAUCCUUUCUUCCACCCCAUCCCACACACAAGAGGCUUUAUUGGACGCACCCAACGGCAGCCCCAGGUAAGUUGAUGGCAGCUGACCUACCUUGCAACCCAACUCCACAGCCAAUUAAAGCAAACAAUCCUCCAUAUGUGCCUCCUUAUUCAAUGCAAUGCUAAACAAUCUUAGGGAUUGUUUGACAAAAGGAGUCUUCUAUGCUAGGUGUACGUCUACUCUGUAACCAACCACUUUGAAAUUCUUGUCAAGCCCCUUCUACAGUAGCUUUUCAAAGUGCAUUUAAUGAUGUCUAACUUGCACAAAUUGACCCUCAGUUCAGAAAAUGAUAUUUGAAUUCAUCCCUAUCCCAGCCUUUGGAAUUCUUUUUUAAUUUCUUCAAGAAAGCACAAUUGGGGACAUGAAUCUGGAGAAAGUACAUACACAGUUUGUAAGCUUCUUCAUCAAAGUUACCCUCACUCAUUUAGAAGAGCAAAUCCUCUUCCAGCCACUUAGUCUUCUUUUUUCCCCUUUUAUUCAGUGCCUUAAAAACUGCUCAUACCUUAAAUACUGAUUUGUUGAUAUAUGUUCAAAUGGCUGCUGUAAUGAGCUGUAUUUCCAUAGUAGUUUGAACGAUAUGGAACCUAACAUACAUUCAUGAACUUUUACCCAUUCAAGUUUCUUCUAGCCCUUUAAUUUUUUAUCUCAGCAUGCUGGUUUCUCUUGAUGUUUCUUUCUUUUCUUUAUGCUUUCUAAUGUGCAUCUUUAUAUUUUAUUGCCAUAUCUAGGUAGGUGAUGAUGUUACUGUGCUUGAUGCCACCGGAAAGUUUGUCAUGCCAGGUGAAUUUUCACUACCAUGGUCAUAUGAUAUUUUGUGCUCAGUUUUAAAUUCUAAAUCUAAGGAGCCAUGCAAGAUGAAAGCCUCAUGCACAUUUGAAAGCCUAACUUGUGAACAAGCCUAACUUUCCAAGUCAAUGAUGGAUACUGUGACUCUGAACCAUUCUUCUAAUGCUCAACCGUAAACUCAUAAGCAUAUCUGAGCGGUUUGACUCCUCUUUGUUCUUCACUCUUCAGAUGAAACCAAAAAACCUAAAUAAAAAGAGUGAAGGAACCAGAGAGCUCUCUAGAAGAGCAGGAAAUGUCUUCCAAGGAGCGAUCAUCUCUUUCAUGCCUUCAUGCUGUGCUCAUUUUUCCAUUUCCAUAUAAGCAAUUGAACACUCAUUCAGCAUGGUAAAUCUUUUAGCUAUCAUGAUGCACUUAUUGGGCAUAUUUUGAGGUAUACCAGAGGAACAUACUGUAAUGUGAUAAGAAUCCAUUGGUUGACCCAGCUGCUGGUGAUAUUAUUCAAGUUUUUAGAAGGAAGACUGUAAAUCAGUCUUUUUUCCUUGCUAUUGAUAAGAGUAAAAUGCAUUUCCUGUUUAAUUUCUUUUAGUUUUUUACUUGUGAAAUCUAUGAAAACUCAUUAAUCAGUAAGCUACAUGACAUGUUAAAUUCGAGAGCUUAAAAUUGAAGUCCUAUGUUCUGAAGUUUUUAGUUUUAGGUCAUUUUAAUUUAAUCUGGAAGUGCAGUUCACCCAAUGAUUUGACUCCAAGGCAUAGGCGUUUGAAUCACAAGGCUAUUGCCUUCGCCAAUAUGCCUUUGAUAAUCCUUUUAUUUUGACUGGACUGUUAGUAUCAUAUUGAAGCAGCAUUUAUGCCUUGACCAAUCCAAGAGCUUAAGAGUUCUUGAUCUUAAUCAGUGAGCCUGCACAUAGCUUCACAUAGUUUUGAGUUUCCUAAUCAAUCAUAGGUUUUGGAAUCUAAAUGGCACUGAUAAACUAUUCAUUUCCUUCUCUAUCUAUUUUGAACAUAAUACAUAAAUACAGCAGAAAGAAUUAUCAUGCUGUAACCUGCACUUAGUGACUUAGUUCUUUCGUUUGUAUGCUUGCCAGAUCCUGCAAAUUUGUAUUAUUAGUGUUAUGGUUUUCCAUGAUUUCUGACUAGGAAUACAACCUUUGGAGUUCCAAUCCUUCCUCACAUGUUAUACCUAUAAAAUGUUGGUCUCUUGUCUCAUCCAUUGUGUCCAUGUGUUCCGCUUUCUUUUCAGAGUGGGUUAACCUCCUCUCUUCCCCCAUUUUCCUUAACAGAGCCUUGGAUGCAUGCCAUGGGGUUUUUGAAAUCUAUAGCUGGUAAUAAGGAGUACAUGAUUGUAUAUCAACUGUAGGUGCAAAAAGCACUAACUAUACAUCCAUCCUAGGCCUUGUAGGUGGAUUCAACAGGGUGCAAUGUGGUACGGGGAGCCAAACCCUUUAAUACUGCACUUAUUAUAAUUAAAACCUGACUUGUUGGUUUGCCAUUUUUUCCACUGUAGACUUGUUAAGUUUAAUUAGCAUGUCCAUGUCCAUGUCCAUUUCCGUCUCUAAGAACUACAUAUAUUUGAUCCAUAUAUAUUGCAACAUUAAAUUUUAAUGUUUACAGGUGGAAUUGAUCCUCACACACACCUAGCAAUGGAGUUUAUGGGUACUGAGACCAUUGAUGACUUUUUCAGUGGUCAAGCUGCUGCAC